Molecule: non-coding RNA, 409 nt
Organism: Salvelinus sp. IW2-2015
Lineage: Eukaryota; Metazoa; Chordata; Actinopteri; Salmoniformes; Salmonidae
Source: RefSeq, a predicted model, not a curated record
GGUCCUUUCAUCAUUCCAGGGUGGAACUACAAUGAAUGGCAGGGACUGGGAACGAAUCCACGUUCAAGUUACUGCAACCAAUCACCAUUCACGAAAUAUGCAGAAGUUGUAUUCACAGAUAAUCCUACACAUGAGUACAAACACCAGCGACUGACGGACAGGAGGGCAGAUUCAUUUUAGUAUUAUUAUUAGCUCGCURGUAAUCUAUUAAAUAUACACAUUUGAUACAAUUUCUACGUGGGUAUGGCAGAGGAGGUAACGAAAACCACAGGCGGACUCUCAGUGGGUGAGAUGUAUGUGUCUGACAAAGAAGGAAAUGACCAGGACGGUGAUGGAACAGAGCCGAAGCCUUUCAAGACCUCAUUGAGGAAUCGGGAGAGGCAAAGGAGAGAGCCGUGAAUCCUCCGAA